This 468-nucleotide ribosomal RNA is filed under the name uncultured bacterium. RNAcentral describes it as "partial 16S ribosomal RNA". It matches the Rfam family "Bacterial small subunit ribosomal RNA", at positions 28 to 507 of the family's 1533-position model. The record is from RNAcentral.
GACGAACGCUGGCGGCGUGCUUAACACAUGCAAGUCGAACGGAAAGGCCCUGCUCCUGUGGCGUGCUCGAGUGGCGAACGGGUGAGUAACCCGUGAGUAACCUGACCUCGACUUUGGGCUAAUUCUAGGACACUGGGGCCAAUACCGGAUAGGAGCUCCUGCUGCCUGGUGGGGGUUGGCAUGUUUCGGCGGUUGGGGAUGGACUCGCGGCUUAUCAGCUUGUUGGUGGGGUAGUGGCUUACCAAGGCUUUGACGGGUAGCCGGCCUGAGCGGGUGACCGGCCACAUUGGGACUGAGAUGCAGCCCAGACUCCUACGGGAGGCAGCAGUGGGGAAUAUUGCACAAUGGGCGGAAGCCUGAUGCAGCAACGCCGCGUGCGGGAUGACGGCCUUCGGGUUGUAAACCGCUUUCGCCUGUGGCGAAGCGAGAGUGACGGUAAUGGGUAAAGAAGCACCGGCUAACUACGUG